Molecule: long non-coding RNA, 738 nt
Organism: Mangifera indica (mango)
Lineage: Eukaryota; Viridiplantae; Streptophyta; Magnoliopsida; Sapindales; Anacardiaceae
Exons: 3
Source: RefSeq, a predicted model, not a curated record
AGAUCAAUGUGACUGGGAGAGUGUGCAGACAAUUGCUACAAGGAGAGACAAUGAGUUAUUAUUCCAUUUUUAAUUUGUUUGUCUGUGUAAAAGAAAUCAAUUAUUGGCCACCACAAAAGUAACCCUAAGUCCUAUCUAACACUGAGUGAAGGGUCUCUUUGGUUUUCUGAUUCAAAAGCCAUGGAAGCAAUAUCCGUGGGAUUCGAUCCUCAUCUCUAUUUUGAAGUGGGAAAGAUAAAAAUCAGUGAGGGAAUGAAAUGUUUGCAAGAUUUGGUACAAUGGUAGAAAAACAACUUGACCCCAGAAAAUGCUGGAAUCCUUUAUGAGCCCAUAGCCUACCUUCAAUCUCUUCAACGACAACCACAGUGAAUAUGGCAAGGGUGUCAACAAGAUGGGGAGACAAUAAGCAUUUCUACAGCAUGAGAAGAGUUUGCAUCACCAAAAUCAGAGCUUGACUCCCAUUGGACAGAUUCUAAGGUUCCUCCACAUCAAGAAUUUGAUAUACUAGAUUGGUGGUGAGCCAACUCUCCAACUUAUCCAACAGUAGCUAGGAUGAUGGCUCGGGACUUCUUAUCAAUACCUAUUUCUAGACCUUUUCUUCCUACACAUUUUGAUUAUUCUUUGAGGAAUGAAAUUGAAAAUAUUUAUAGUGGUGGGUUGGAUGAUGACUUAAAAAAUGCUUUGGUAUGUACAAAAGUUUGGUUGCAAAUUUAUAAUGAAAAAUCUAUGUUUUAUUUA